GAGGGUAUAGCUCAGUGGUAGAGCACAUACUUAGCAUGCACAAGGUCCUGGGUUCGAUCCCUAGUACCUCCA
This 72-nucleotide transfer RNA is filed under the name Camelus ferus (Wild Bactrian camel). It matches the Rfam family "tRNA". Rfam says of the family: Transfer RNA (tRNA) molecules are approximately 80 nucleotides in length. Their secondary structure includes four short double-helical elements and three loops (D, anti-codon, and T loops). Further hydrogen bonds mediate the characteristic L-shaped molecular structure. tRNAs have two regions of fundamental functional importance: the anti-codon, which is responsible for specific mRNA codon recognition, and the 3' end, to which the tRNAs corresponding amino acid is attached (by aminoacyl-tRNA synthetases). tRNAs cope with the degeneracy of the genetic code in two manners: having more than one tRNA (with a specific anti-codon) for a particular amino acid; and 'wobble' base-pairing, i.e. permitting non-standard base-pairing at the 3rd anti-codon position. The record is from Rfam by way of RNAcentral. Lineage: Eukaryota; Metazoa; Chordata; Mammalia; Artiodactyla; Camelidae.